RNAcentral lists this ribosomal RNA (374 nucleotides) under uncultured organism. RNAcentral's name for it is "partial 16S ribosomal RNA". It matches the Rfam family "Bacterial small subunit ribosomal RNA", at positions 527 to 896 of the family's 1533-position model. The record is from RNAcentral.
GUAGGUGGCAAGCGUUGUCCGGAAUUAUUGGGCGUAAAGCGCGCGCAGGCGGUUCUUUAAGUCUGAUGUGAAAGCCCACGGCUCAACCGUGGAGGGUCAUUGGAAACUGGAGAACUUGAGUACAGAAGAGGAAAGCGGAAUUCCACGUGUAGCGGUGAAAUGCGUAGAGAUGUGGAGGAACACCAGUGGCGAAGGCGGCUUUCUGGUCUGUAACUGACGCUGAGGCGCGAAAGCGUGGGGAGCAAACAGGAUUAGAUACCCUGGUAGUCCACGCCGUAAACGAUGAGUGCUAAGUGUUAGGGGGGUUUUCCGCCCCCCUUAGUGCUGCAGCUAACGCAUUAAGCACUCCGCCAGGGAGUACGGCCGCAAGGCUG